Molecule: ribosomal RNA, 249 nt
Filed under: uncultured bacterium
Lineage: Bacteria
Description: partial 16S ribosomal RNA
Rfam family: Bacterial small subunit ribosomal RNA
Source: RNAcentral
GACGGGGGGCAAGUGUUCUUCGGAAUGACUGGGCGUAAAGGGCACGUAGGCGGUGAAUCGGGUUGAAAGUGAAAGUCGCCAAGAAGUGGCGGAAUGCUCUCGAAACCAAUUCACUUGAGUGAGACAGAGGAGAGUGGAAUUUUGUGUGUAGGGGUGAAAUCCGUAGAUCUACGAAGGAACGCCAAAAGCGAAGGCAGCUCUCUGGGUCCCUACCAACGCUGGGGUGCGAAAGCAUGGGGAGCGAACAGG